Molecule: ribosomal RNA, 496 nt
Filed under: uncultured bacterium
Lineage: Bacteria
Description: partial 16S ribosomal RNA
Rfam family: Bacterial small subunit ribosomal RNA
Source: RNAcentral
AUGAACGCUGGCGGCGUGCCUAAUACAUGCAAGUCGAGCGAACAGACGAGGAGCUUGCUCCUCUGACGUUAGCGGCGGACGGGUGAGUAACACGUGGAUAACCUACCUAUAAGACUGGGAUAACUUCGGGAAACCGGAGCUAAUACCGGAUAAUAUAUUGAACCGCAUGGUUCAAUAGUGGAAGACGGUUUUGCUGUCACUUAUAGAUGGAUCCGCGCCGCAUUAGCUAGUUGGUAAGGUAACGGCUUACCAAGGCAACGAUGCGUAGCCGACCUGAGAGGGUGAUCGGCCACACUGGAACUGAGACACGGUCCAGACUCCUACGGGAGGCAGCAGUAGGGAAUCUUCCGCAAAGGGCGAAAGCCUGACGGAGCAACGCCGCGUGAGUGAUGAAGGUCUUCGGAUCGUAAAACUCUGUUAUUAGGGAAGAACAAAUGUGUAAGUAACUAUGCACGUCUUGACGGUACCUAAUCAGAAAGCCACGGCUAACUACGUG